This 48-nucleotide non-coding RNA is filed under the name Schistosoma mansoni. Lineage: Eukaryota; Metazoa; Platyhelminthes; Trematoda; Strigeidida; Schistosomatidae. The record is from RNAcentral.
AUCCAGCUGACGAGUCCCAAAUAGGACGAAUCACGCGUUAAACCGGAU